GCCCGGUUAGCUCAAUUGGAUAGAGCGUGAGACUCUUAUAAACGUAAUCUCAAGGUUGCGGGUUCGACCCCCGCAUUGGGCU
RNAcentral lists this transfer RNA (82 nucleotides) under Ophiocordyceps sinensis. It matches the Rfam family "tRNA". Rfam says of the family: Transfer RNA (tRNA) molecules are approximately 80 nucleotides in length. Their secondary structure includes four short double-helical elements and three loops (D, anti-codon, and T loops). Further hydrogen bonds mediate the characteristic L-shaped molecular structure. tRNAs have two regions of fundamental functional importance: the anti-codon, which is responsible for specific mRNA codon recognition, and the 3' end, to which the tRNAs corresponding amino acid is attached (by aminoacyl-tRNA synthetases). tRNAs cope with the degeneracy of the genetic code in two manners: having more than one tRNA (with a specific anti-codon) for a particular amino acid; and 'wobble' base-pairing, i.e. permitting non-standard base-pairing at the 3rd anti-codon position. The record is from Rfam by way of RNAcentral. Lineage: Eukaryota; Fungi; Ascomycota; Sordariomycetes; Hypocreales; Ophiocordycipitaceae. RNAcentral also lists the same sequence under 1 other name.